AAAAGUUGAUUAAAUUCCAUAAAUCAGAUCUCCUUACAAAUGCAAAUAGCAAAAUUGAUAAUAACCUAAGCCUAAGAAAAAAGAAAAACCGAAACUGAAAUUACAAAGAAAAUUAUAAAGUAUGAAAGUUGUUCAUAACAAGUGUUUAAUGAGCCUAUUUAUAAAUUUUGGGUUGCCAUUGUCCUCAAUCCAAGGCCAGCUGACGCUCUUGUAUUAAAAAUUGAUUGUGUAGACCAAAAUGCCCCUGUCUUGUAAGUAUUUCUCAUACAGGAUCGAUGUUCUGACACCAUAAUGCCUGUGUUGCAACAUCGAAGGUAGUAUGCUCGUACUCAGGGUAGCUUCAGGGGUGUAUCGCGACAUCUCUUGGUUGUGUCACGAUACUAAAGGUGGUCUUAGGUAUGCUC
Molecule: long non-coding RNA, 404 nt
Filed under: Gossypium barbadense (sea-island cotton)
Lineage: Eukaryota; Viridiplantae; Streptophyta; Magnoliopsida; Malvales; Malvaceae
Description: long non-coding RNA (GBAR_LNC014894)
Source: RNAcentral